Molecule: non-coding RNA, 74 nt
Organism: Fusarium proliferatum ET1
Lineage: Eukaryota; Fungi; Ascomycota; Sordariomycetes; Hypocreales; Nectriaceae
Source: the annotation of a RefSeq genome assembly
GUCUGCUUGGCUCAGUUGGUUAGAGCGUUGGUCUCAUAAUCCAAAGGUCGUGAGUUCGAACCUCACAGCGGACA